RNAcentral lists this long non-coding RNA (348 nucleotides) under Brassica napus (rape). Its description in RNAcentral is "long non-coding RNA (BNAP_LNC026084)". Lineage: Eukaryota; Viridiplantae; Streptophyta; Magnoliopsida; Brassicales; Brassicaceae. The record is from RNAcentral.
ACUGCAAGCAACUAAUCCAAUCCACUCCAGUGCAGGAUACAAUUCCAUGUGUCUCGGUUUAAGCUCCUUUAUCUUCUGAGUCUUAGGCUCCUCCUGAAAUAUCCUUAAUUUCAGGUAUAUUAGGUGCCCAUAUGUAGCUCCAAAUCCUUACGGUGCUUAGCUGCAUAAAUCUUUUGACGUCAUGGGCUUCCGAAAGCCAAUCCUUGAGCAUGUCCUUUGCUCUACUGUCUCUUGAACCAUUAAUAGUUAUAACUCAUAUUGCUCUCCCACUUUGGUCCAACAAAGUGGUAUACUAUAAGGUCUACCAUAAAUAACCCUCAUAUAAUUUUUUUUUUUUUUUUUUUUUUU